RNAcentral lists this ribosomal RNA (274 nucleotides) under uncultured bacterium. RNAcentral describes it as "partial 16S ribosomal RNA". It matches the Rfam family "Bacterial small subunit ribosomal RNA", at positions 523 to 796 of the family's 1533-position model. The record is from RNAcentral.
AUACGGAGGGUGCAAGCGUUACUCGGAAUCACUGGGCGUAAAGGACGCGUAGGCUGGUUUGCAAGUCAGGGGUGAAAGCCUACAGCUUAACUGUAGAACUGCUCUUGAAACUGCUUACCUAGAGUAUGGGAGAGGUGAAAGGAAUUAGUGGUGUAGGGGUAAAAUCCGUAGAGAUCACUAGGAAUACCGAUUGCGAAGGCGUUUCACUGGAACAUUACUGACGCUGAGGCGUGAAAGCGUGGGGAGCAAACAGGAUUAGAAACCCUAGUAGUCC